This 119-nucleotide transfer RNA is filed under the name virus sp. ctmTa7. RNAcentral describes it as "tRNA-OTHER". The record is from RNAcentral.
GAAGACGUAGGGAAGUGGCCAAACCCAACAAAGAAUAGUGGUUAGCUACUUAAUCGCUUACAGCAAAGUUAAUUGUAAAACAGGCAAGUUUUCGUGAGUUCGAAUCUCACCGUCUUCCA